Molecule: long non-coding RNA, 757 nt
Organism: Oryzias melastigma (Indian medaka)
Lineage: Eukaryota; Metazoa; Chordata; Actinopteri; Beloniformes; Adrianichthyidae
Exons: 5
Source: RefSeq, a predicted model, not a curated record
GAUAAUUAUUACUGUUUUUAGGGUCACUUUAUUGCACCACUGAAUAUUGCAUUGUUUCUAUGGCAACAUGUCACUCUAAAAAGUGGGUUUUUUUCUAAAGUCAUACAAAAGCCCUGAGGUCAUUUGGCUCUGGCCUGGUAUUCUGUCACUGAGCUUGGCAUGAGCAGAGUGAGGGUGACUGCUGGAAUCCAUAUCAGCUAUGAGUACUUGUUAUGAAACAUAUGCAGCGUUGCCAGGGUCACGGGGAGGGUGAAACACAUCUCAGGUGUCACUGGAUGUGAAACCGUGGACGCUAUUGAUAAAUUGCCAGCCCUUCGGAUGACAGAAGGUCCUGGGCUUUAGGAACUUAGAUGGAAAGCACUUUGAAUCAAAGAAACCGAGUAUUCGAGCAGGAGAGCCACUCAUUCUACAGCCCCGUAUUUAGUGAAGAUAAUCAGCAGCUGUGCAGAAAUUUCACACUCAGAAUCUGUCUCACAGCCCAUGUGGGACUGAGCCUGAGUGACAAGCCUCUGACAUUUACAAGCUCUGAAAGUGCGAGCGGGCAUGCCUGCAUCGAUCAUGGCGGACAAUCCAAAUCUCCAUUAAGGACGGAAAUCACGCCGACCAGACUCAGAGAAGAUGGAAUUCUUGUGUUUGCUAGGGCAAAACUUUAACUUUUUCACAGCUUUUACAGCAUAAAUAAAUAUAUAAACUGUUAAAUUGUCUUGAAGCAUGUUCUUCUGUUUGGGUAAUCCUCAAAAAAAAAAAAAAAAAAAAA